UAGCCUGCAGUACAGAGGACUGG
RNAcentral lists this microRNA (23 nucleotides) under Bos taurus (domestic cattle). Its description in RNAcentral is "bta-miR-2353". Lineage: Eukaryota; Metazoa; Chordata; Mammalia; Artiodactyla; Bovidae. The record is from miRBase by way of RNAcentral.